UCAUUGUCCUAAGACUUGGAAGUCUUAGGGAAGUGAGCAAGUGAAACAUGCAGAAGUAGUGUACUACUUCUGUAGCACAUUACCUUGC
RNAcentral lists this ribozyme (88 nucleotides) under unclassified sequences. Its description in RNAcentral is "Hairpin ribozyme 1 from viruses-like metatranscriptomes". It matches the Rfam family "Hairpin ribozyme 1 from viruses-like metatranscriptomes". The record is from Rfam by way of RNAcentral.